AAGUUGAACGGAGAUGUGUUCCCAUAGUAAGAGUGAGGCCCCUGCAUUUGCUGCCCUCGGUUUUCCCAACUAACACCAGGGCCUCCCCCCUGUACCCCAUUCAUAUGCCUCAGAAGCUGACAAUGACUGUUGGGCUUUUCCAAUGAAUACCAGAACACCAUUUCCUGCAGCCUGAAAAGAAGACAGUAUAAUUGUUUGGCAGCAAGAGAAUCCAGGUGCCCUUCCAUGAGAAGCCCAAGCCAUGUGGAGAAGCCACGUCUAGGGACUCCAGUUAACACUCUCAGCUGAGUCCCCAGCUGACAGUCAGCAUCAACUGCCAGCCACCUCUGUCUAAAAGUGGGCUAUCUUGGGCAUCCAGCCCAGUCAAGCCUUCAGAUGAGUCCAGUCCCAGCCACUAUCUCACACAACCACACGAGAGACAUCAAGAACUCCCAGUGGAGUCCAGUCAGCCCAUGGAACUGCAAGAGGGUGGAGCCAAGACUCUGAGGAGAGGGCUGAACUGUGAACCUAGAAGUACCAUCUCCCCCUGCACACACCUUUGGUCAAGUUGACCCCAAGAAGAAGGACAAGUCCUCUGCACGGCGAUGAGGCCAUACACACAGUCUGUGGCCCGGCUUUGGGAGACUGAUGGGACAAAGGAUGUUUUGCACGAUCCUUGGUCUCUGAGCAAAUAUAUACAUGGGUUAACACAAA
This 693-nucleotide long non-coding RNA is filed under the name Homo sapiens (human). RNAcentral's name for it is "novel transcript". Lineage: Eukaryota; Metazoa; Chordata; Mammalia; Primates; Hominidae. The record is from RNAcentral.